UACGGGGGGAGCAAGCGUUGUUCGGAUUUACUGGGCGUAAAGGGCGCGUAGGCGGUCAGCACAAGUCAGUUGUGAAAUCUCCGGGCUUAACUCGGAAAGGUCAACUGAUACUGUGCGACUAGAGUGCAGAAGGGGCAACUGGAAUUCUCGGUGUAGCGGUGAAAUGCGUAGAUAUCGAGAGGAACACCUGCGGCGAAAGCGGCGUGCUGGAUUCCUACUGACGCUGAGGCACGAAAGCCAGGGGAGCAAACGGG
RNAcentral lists this ribosomal RNA (254 nucleotides) under uncultured bacterium. RNAcentral describes it as "partial 16S ribosomal RNA". It matches the Rfam family "Bacterial small subunit ribosomal RNA", at positions 524 to 776 of the family's 1533-position model. The record is from RNAcentral.